UACGUAGGGUGCGAGCGUUAAUCGGAAUUACUGGGCGUAAAGCGUGCGCAGGCGGUCUGUUAAGACCGAUGUGAAAUCCCCGGGCUUAACCUGGGAACUGCAUUGGUGACUGGCAGGCUUUGAGUGUGGCAGAGGGAGGUAGAAUUCCACGUGUAGCAGUGAAAUGCGUAGAGGUGUGGAGGAAUACCGAUGGCGAAGGCAGCCUCCUGGGCCAACACUGACGCUCAUGCACGAAAGCGUGGGGAGCAAACAGG
RNAcentral lists this ribosomal RNA (254 nucleotides) under uncultured bacterium. RNAcentral's name for it is "partial 16S ribosomal RNA". It matches the Rfam family "Bacterial small subunit ribosomal RNA", at positions 524 to 776 of the family's 1533-position model. The record is from RNAcentral.